RNAcentral lists this ribosomal RNA (1441 nucleotides) under Streptococcus thermophilus. RNAcentral describes it as "bacterial SSU rRNA". It matches the Rfam family "Bacterial small subunit ribosomal RNA". Lineage: Bacteria; Bacillati; Bacillota; Bacilli; Lactobacillales; Streptococcaceae. The record is from RNAcentral.
GUGCGGGCUAUACAUGCAGUAGAACGCUGAAGAGAGGAGCUUGCUCUUCUUGGAUGAGUUGCGAACGGGUGAGUAACGCGUAGGUAACCUGCCUUGUAGCGGGGGAUAACUAUUGGAAACGAUAGCUAAUACCGCAUAACAAUGGAUGACACAUGUCAUUUAUUUGAAAGGGGCAAUUGCUCCACUACAAGAUGGACCUGCGUUGUAUUAGCUAGUAGGUGAGGUAAUGGCUCACCUAGGCGACGAUACAUAGCCGACCUGAGAGGGUGAUCGGCCACACUGGGACUGAGACACGGCCCAGACUCCUACGGGAGGCAGCAGUAGGGAAUCUUCGGCAAUGGGGGCAACCCUGACCGAGCAACGCCGCGUGAGUGAAGAAGGUUUUCGGAUCGUAAAGCUCUGUUGUAAGUCAAGAACGGGUGUGAGAGUGGAAAGUUCACACUGUGACGGUAGCUUACCAGAAAGGGACGGCUAACUACGUGCCAGCAGCCGCGGUAAUACGUAGGUCCCGAGCGUUGUCCGGAUUUAUUGGGCGUAAAGCGAGCGCAGGCGGUUUGAUAAGUCUGAAGUUAAAGGCUGUGGCUCAACCAUAGUUCGCUUUGGAAACUGUCAAACUUGAGUGCAGAAGGGGAGAGUGGAAUUCCAUGUGUAGCGGUGAAAUGCGUAGAUAUAUGGAGGAACACCGGUGGCGAAAGCGGCUCUCUGGUCUGUAACUGACGCUGAGGCUCGAAAGCGUGGGGAGCGAACAGGAUUAGAUACCCUGGUAGUCCACGCCGUAAACGAUGAGUGCUAGGUGUUGGAUCCUUUCCGGGAUUCAGUGCCGCAGCUAACGCAUUAAGCACUCCGCCCUGGGGAGUACGACCGCAAGGUUGAAACUCAAAGGAAUUGACGGGGGCCCGCACAAGCGGUGGAGCAUGUGGUUUAAUUCGAAGCAACGCGAAGAACCUUACCAGGUCUUGACAUCCCGAUGCUAUUUCUAGAGAUAGAAAGUUACUUCGGUACAUCGGUGACAGGUGGUGCAUGGUUGUCGUCAGCUCGUGUCGUGAGAUGUUGGGUUAAGUCCCGCAACGAGCGCAACCCCUAUUGUUAGUUGCCAUCAUUCAGUUGGGCACUCUAGCGAGACUGCCGGUAAUAAACCGGAGGAAGGUGGGGAUGACGUCAAAUCAUCAUGCCCCUUAUGACCUGGGCUACACACGUGCUACAAUGGUUGGUACAACGAGUUGCGAGUCGGUGACGGCGAGCUAAUCUCUUAAAGCCAAUCUCAGUUCGGAUUGUAGGCUGCAACUCGCCUACAUGAAGUCGGAAUCGCUAGUAAUCGCGGAUCAGCACGCCGCGGUGAAUACGUUCCCGGGCCUUGUACACACCGCCCGUCACACCACGAGAGUUUGUAACACCCGAAGUCGGUGAGGUAACCUUUGGAGCCAGCCGCUAAGUGACAGGU